This 545-nucleotide ribosomal RNA is filed under the name Limnadia sp. JRdW-2005. RNAcentral's name for it is "SSU rRNA". It matches the Rfam family "Eukaryotic small subunit ribosomal RNA", at positions 44 to 661 of the family's 1831-position model. The record is from RNAcentral. Lineage: Eukaryota; Metazoa; Arthropoda; Branchiopoda; Diplostraca; Limnadiidae.
UUAAGCCAUGCAUGUCUAAGUACAAGCCGCUAUGCGGCGAAACCGCGAAUGGCUCAUUAAAUCAGUUAUGGUUCCUUAGAUCGUACCAUCCUACUUGGAUAACUGUGGUAAUUCUAGAGCUAAUACAUGCAAACAAGCUUCUUUGAGCUGAUCGCACGGUCUCGAACCGGCGACGCAUCUUUCAAAUGUCUGCCUUAUCAACUGUCGAUGGUAGGUUAUGCGCCUACCAUGGUUGCAACGGGUAACGGGGAAUCAGGGUUCGAUUCCGGAGAGGGAGCCUGAGAAACGGCUACCACAUCCAAGGAAGGCAGCAGGCGCGCAAAUUACCCACUCCCGGCACGGGGAGGUAGUGACGAAAAAUAACGAUACGGGACUCUUCCGAGGCCCCGUGAUUGGAAUGAGUACACUUUAAAUCCUUUAACGAGGACCUAUUGGAGGGCAAGUCUGGUGCCAGCAGCCGCGGUAACUCCAGCUCCAAUAGCGUAUAUUAAAGUUGUUGCGGUUAAAAAGCUCGUAGUUGGAUUCCGGUCGCGGCCGGGUGGUGC